CGAAAAGCCGUCUCAGUUCGGAUUGGAGUCUGCAACCCGACUCCAUGAAGCUGGAUUCGCUAGUAAUCGCGCAUCAGCCACGGCGCGGUGAAUACGUUCCCGGGCCUUGUACACACCGCCCGUCAAGCCAUGGGAGCCGGGAGUGCCUGAAGUACGUGACCGCAAGGAGCGUCCUAGGGUAAGACCGGUGACUGGGGCUAAGUCGUAACAAGGUAUC
Molecule: ribosomal RNA, 217 nt
Filed under: uncultured bacterium
Lineage: Bacteria
Description: partial 16S ribosomal RNA
Rfam family: Bacterial small subunit ribosomal RNA
Source: RNAcentral